GAUCUAGCAUUUCCAAGUUGGUGGCAUUUGGUGACGCCCAUGUCUGCCUGAAGUGGCCAGUUUGGCAGCCAUUGAAGCUCUCUCUCUGUUUUCUUUUCCUCCCCACUCAUCAAUUUGGCCGCCAGUGCGCAGAUCCACUGAUGGGUUAUGAAUUAUUUGAUAUACAAGACAAGAUGAACCACUACCCAACCCAUAACAUGCUUCCCAUUCUCACCAACAAACCUUUUUGUUGGCAGAUAAGUUUUAAAUUAACAUGUGGAAUAUUAUGUGUACUCUGUCUCAGGGCUGCCCAUAUCUGUUUAAAUAUGUGUGUUCUUGCAGUUCCUUUUAUAGGCCUAUAAGGUGUUUGAUAAAAUGCCUAAGAGACUACAACUUGAGGAGGCCACUGUGAGUUGGGAGAUAGGAAGAGUGAGCCAUGUUGGAGAGGCAGGGCACGUGCUGGAUUUAGCAGCUAGAUGGAAGGUCUUAGCAUGUGCCCUUUUUCACCAACUUGGAUUCUCUUUCUUUUCAGAACAAAUUUGUAUGCCUCUACGUUGAAUGAAGGCAAUUCCAGCAGUGACCGAUGAGGAAGACAGCAAGGGCAACAGCUAGAUGGUGAUUGAAGUCAUUACAAAGGCCUAGAGGAAAGUAAGUGUCAUGACGUGAUUAAAGAGGAUGGUGUUGUCAUCUAAUGCAUCAAAAAUAGUGGAAACGAACGUAAAUCUAAAGCCAAACAAAAACGAAGUGAUAGUGUCGUCUAUGAUGCUAGAGACAAACCUAAUAGGGUCAAAUGGGGCCUUGAGCCAUGACCUCAAAAGUUGUAGUUUUGACCCGUGACUCUAGAAUUAAGUUUCUUUAAGUUAAAAGAUACAAGUUUAUCAA
Cucurbita maxima (winter squash) is the source of this 861-nucleotide long non-coding RNA. RefSeq lists it as uncharacterized. The record is from RefSeq and is a predicted model, not a curated record. The transcript has 2 exons. Lineage: Eukaryota; Viridiplantae; Streptophyta; Magnoliopsida; Cucurbitales; Cucurbitaceae.